This 269-nucleotide ribosomal RNA is filed under the name uncultured bacterium. RNAcentral describes it as "partial 16S ribosomal RNA". It matches the Rfam family "Bacterial small subunit ribosomal RNA", at positions 524 to 777 of the family's 1533-position model. The record is from RNAcentral.
UACAGAGGGGUGCAAGCGUUUGUUUCGGGAAUUUACUGGGGCGUAAAGCGCACGUAGGCGGAUUUUGUAAGUCAGGGGUGAAAUCCCCGGGGCUCAACCUCGGAACUGCCUUUUGAUACUGCAAGUCUCGAGUCCGAUAGAGGUGAGUGGAAUUUUCCUAGUGUAGAGGUGAAAUUCGUAGAUAUUUAGGAAGAACACCAGUGGCGAAGGGCGGCUCACUGGGAUCGGUACUGACGCUGAGGGUGCGAAAGCGUGGGGAGCAAACAGGG